UACGAAGGGGGCUAGCGUUGUUCGGAAUUACUGGGCGUAAAGCGUGCGCAGGCGGCUUUGCAAGACAGAUGUGAAAUCCCCGGGCUCAACCUGGGAACUGCAUUUGUGACUGCAUGGCUGGAGUGCGGCAGAGGGGGAUGGAAUUCCGCGUGUAGCAGUGAAAUGCGUAGAUACGCGGAGGAACACCGAUGGCGAAGGCAAUCCCCUGGGCCUGCACUGACGCUCAUGCACGAAAGCGUGGGGAGCAAACAGG
Molecule: ribosomal RNA, 253 nt
Filed under: uncultured bacterium
Lineage: Bacteria
Description: partial 16S ribosomal RNA
Rfam family: Bacterial small subunit ribosomal RNA
Source: RNAcentral